CUUAAUCCGUUACUCUUUCAUCCGUAUUGCUUCAUUCUAUCCCGAUCGAUGGCCUCUGAAAGUGGUCGUUGCAUCGUGUCCCAUGAUGGUUCAUGGGGAAAUUUCGGGCAAAGUCUGGCUCGCGCAGAUGUUACAAUGUUCGCGAAAUGUUCUGAUCUUCUCCAUUCUGUGGAAGCAAUAGCCUUCGAUCGAAGAUGCGCCGUUUGAAAUAUAAUUGGAGGAUCGUAUUCAAGUAAUGCUCAUAUUGGAUGUCUAAUUUGUACUUUAAAUUAUUAUAUGGAAGUACGCAAUUGGAAAAUUCAUCUUCUCAUUUAUUCCAUUAAUGAAAAAUGGAGCUUAAAUCAUUCCACUCAGCUGUAUCGUGCAUCGACGAUAUUUCCACGUACAAGAUCGAGUCUUCGAAUACAGUUAAAAUAGGCAUGACCGUGUUGCUUAAACUAUAUAUAAGAUACGACGAGGCGGACGAGGAUGAAUCUCUGAAGAGAAGAACAAAGGUGGAAUCGCGUGAAUGCAAAUUCUUGGCUGCACGUGUGCAUACUUUGGUUCACUUGUUGUUCUUAGCUUAAUACUAAAGCAAUCAGACUCGUCAAAAUCAUCGAUCGCCAAAUUUUUAUUUCGAUAUUGAUAACGAUUCACUAAGUAUUCUAAAUUUAUUUUACGCCCUCUUUAUCGAAUAUCUUCUAAAGGUCAGCCACGAAUUAUAUUUAUUUAAAAAAAAAGGUAAAUUCUUUUUUUCAUUUCUUUCUUUGAUAUUUUCAGCCUGUUUCGUAAGAAGUGUCCUCGUUCUUAUCAACAUUUCGAAAGGUGACAUCACGUUUAUAUACGAUCCAUCGAAGCGAAGACACUUGUGGACAUGGUUUAACAUUUUUCUCCGGUUUUUCUCCUCUUCGCAAAGUUGAUUUUUCUCUGAAAACACGGGCCAAGAGUGAGAAAACGAUAACGCAUCGUAUCUGAUGAUAAUAUUUACACGUCGCGACGUUUUAUCGUUUUAGUCACCCUUCGAUUCGGUUAAGGGACUUCUUUUUCACGAUUUUAUCUUCUCCGUGUACUCUGUUUACAGAUUUCAAUUCGUUUUUGCCUCAAAAAGUAAACAUUAAAAUUUUUUUUUCUUCAGGGUCUCCAAUCUCAAUCGAUAGUUCUUCGGAUAAUGGAAAAGGAAGAAAUUUAAUCUUCUUAUUGGAGAAAUGACAGGAAAUGUAUCAAGGAUUGCUUUUCAUUUAUGAUAAGCGAUUAACGGGAGAUUUAAUUGCAUCGGCUAUUUAAUGACAAUUAAAUCUUGUUUAGAGAAGGAAUGAUUAAACUCUUUGCAUCUGCAGAUGAGUCACUGCCAGGAACGAGUGUGUAAUAAUUCUUAUCCGAAGACGUAAUUAAGAGAAAUCGUUGUUAAUUGAACCGUUGAUACUCGGUUAAUUCAAACAACGUUCCCAUACUGAUCUAUCUCUGGCAUAAUUGUAUUCAAAUUGAAUUUCCUCUAGUUCAACGAAGCAUACGUAUACACCCACGAUUCUCAGUUCAAUCGAAUCGCCAAAAGUCCAAUUUCCGAAGUAUAAAUAUUAAUGUUAUAAUUUUACCGUUUCACGAAAAGAAGCAGCAAGCAGGCAUGGGUUUAAUCUUCCGUGCGUCGGUUCGCAUAAACAAUCCUCACGGUUUAUAUUCUAGCCAUUUGGUGCGCUUAAACGAAUUCUAGAUAUUUUACUGAGAGUCUGGAUCUUUGUUUAAAGCCAGUUACAGACAAAGGGUGCUCGACGAAGGUCCGUCGUAAAAAUCGACGCCAAGAAACGAACAGGAUCAGUGUUUUUUUUUUUGCCUACAAGGGUCCUGGUAGACGAACUUAGAGGGCGAAUCGAAGAUAGACGAAUAAAAAUGCUGUUCGUUACGAGGCUGAAUGUUUUCAUUAAACUGAACAGAUUAAAUUGCACUUCGAUCGGAAUAUCGCGGAUACAAAUGACCCUUGAUGGUGAUCUUCUUUUCGCUGGGAGAAUCCGCAAGGAUAAAACGAUCUCGUUAAAAUGAAGGACCCUUGUGGAGACAACGGGGGCAGGCUCGCUUGUUACUUGGAUUGAAUUAAUUCGAACGUGGGUAGGGGGGUUUCUUGAGAUAACGAUCGUAUUGUCAAGACUGAGGAGAAGGUAAUUUGAGGAUGAAGGAUUCUUUAAAAUGUUGAAAUGAACGGUGUUCAUGCGGACCGACGAGAGUAUACCUAUUAUGGAUAUUGACCUGAAUAUCGAGUACACAUAAGUGGGGUUUGCCCUGGCUUCAUUGAAUAAAUACACCUUUGUUAGAUCAUCGAUAAAUCAUUCUGAUAAAAUCUCUCUUUAAACAAUUAACUGAGUACACAUUGCAAAAAUCGUGGUUUAACUUUUUAUUAUAAAUGAAGUGCAAACAAACUUGAAAUCAUGUAAAAAGUAGGACUCACAAGCAGGCUUUUUAAUUUCCACUUGAAAAGGAAAUUUGACUUUGUAACCAAAGUGAGGUGAAUGUUUUCCGGAAAUGUAAAGUAACAGGAUCACAGAAAAACAGCAGAAUUUCAUAACUCCAUCUAAAGAUGCUCAUGAAUCAGUGAAACAAAUAACGUCAUAGUGGUUUCCGGAUUUUUCUGAAUUAAUUCAAGAACGAGUUAUCAAAUAUUACUCAACGAUUCUAAAAAUACAAAAGGAUUGUUCGAUGAUCGUUGGUUUUCUCAUAAAUACUGUUUACCAGAAGCAAAUUUUUAAUAGGCCCAAUCGUAAUGCCGUCGAAGGAAAUUCUUAUCUAGGAAGUAGCGAAAUCCCAGAUCGAGGUGAAAGUAAAUUUAUUUCCUAUUCAUUAUCAUUUUUAUUCACUCAUUUAUUUUUUUUUUUAUCCGAUAGCGACGAAACGUAAUUUAAUAGACUUCCACCGGUGCAUUUUAAUCGAUUAUUCUGUUUCAAUCUCCAAACGGUGAACAGGCGACGGUUUCCGGAAAUUACGUUAAAAUACGAUUCGAUUGAAAGUGAAAAAUGUUGCAACUUGUUUCCAAGAAUAUUACAAGCAGUAAAACAACUUCGAUCGCGUUACAACGCGUUCGACGUGAAACGAAUCGCGGCGAACGAAUAUGAACGUCGACAAGUACCCGAGGAGAGUUACUGAAGCGGCUCUUUGCAAAUAUCACGUAUCAUUAUUAGUGACGCGUCGAAAUAUAUGAUCGCUAGAUCUGGUGAAAGGGAAUCUCUCCUCUCUUUCGCAUUUUCCAUUCGUUUCGCAUGGCGUUUCAGUCUCCUGUAACUUAUACCAGGUUUAAGUAAAACAUAAAACGUGAUAAAGUAUCUUCAGAGAUACCUGUAUUUUCAAAAGCUCACUAGGUACGAUUCAACUACAUUUCUAUUUUAUAUGUAUGUAUAAUUACAGAUAAGAACUGUAAAACAAAAUAUUCUGUUAUUCUUAACUUUUCAACACAGUUUCUAUUAUAUGUAUCUACAGAAUAAGUUACCCGAAUGUUAAGCACGACUUUACAAAAAUUCCCUUUUUUUCCGUAGGAAUAAUUUCUCCGGCUUCUUCCGACGGAUUUCACGCCGUUUCUUCGUCGUCGCCGGGACGGAACUGGGAAAUCGUGAAAAACAUGAAUGAAAAGUAGCACGCAGACAAAAGAGAAAGGGCAAAAAACGAUUCUGGUUUCACGCUAGAGCUUUAUAUUCAUCGCGCGAAAGCUUUUCAUUA
Molecule: long non-coding RNA, 3675 nt
Organism: Osmia bicornis bicornis
Lineage: Eukaryota; Metazoa; Arthropoda; Insecta; Hymenoptera; Megachilidae
Exons: 5
Source: RefSeq, a predicted model, not a curated record